AACGCACCUUGCACCCUUUGGAAUUCCGAAGGGUAUGCUCGUUUGAGUGUCAUUGUACUCUCACACUCUCUCAUCCUUUGGAUUCGGGGAGCGGUGGACUUGGGUGCUUGCUGCUUUUCCUUGUGGCUCACCUCAAAUGCGUUAGUGCACCUCUUGGUUGGACAUAGUACGGCGUGAUAAGUAUCUUCGCCGGCACCUCGCAAGAGGGUGGCCGAUUGAGAGCUCUGUGCUUUCAAACCGUCCUCGGACAACCUCUGACAACUUGACCUCAAAUCGAGUAGGACUACCCGCUGAACUUAA
RNAcentral lists this unclassified non-coding RNA (300 nucleotides) under uncultured Sebacina. RNAcentral's name for it is "sequence contains ITS2". Lineage: Eukaryota; Fungi; Basidiomycota; Agaricomycetes; Sebacinales; Sebacinaceae. The record is from RNAcentral.